AGGAAAAACUAAGAGAAAUAAAGGAGCUGGAAGCAAGUCUGAACUUUCCUCUAGGUAAAUGGGGCCCACUUGGGUGGAAAAUAUCUCUCUAUAAGUGGGCAACAGCUCUCUCUCCCCUCAAACUUGCCCAUACGUACUCCUCACCCACUCCACCACAUAAGGCUUUUUGAGGAAGCAAGUUGGAGUUGGCUGUCUCUCUCACUCUCUCUCUUAGGCUCCCUUUUUCCCCUUUGGAUCCCUACCUCUGGGAGCAAGAUCAAGCAAGGAAGCAGCAGUUUUUCCUCUCUUCUCCAAGCCAUUUUCCGUCGUUUCCUCCUUCAACUGGCGGUCACCAACCUCAGCAAAGGACCUUAGUGAACGCCGAUCCGUCGAUCCCGGAGGCCGUGGGCGAUCGUGAGGCGUCCCACCUUUCUGAUUCAGGGCAGCAAGG
Phragmites australis (common reed) is the source of this 430-nucleotide long non-coding RNA. RefSeq lists it as uncharacterized. Lineage: Eukaryota; Viridiplantae; Streptophyta; Magnoliopsida; Poales; Poaceae. The record is from RefSeq and is a predicted model, not a curated record. The transcript is spliced from 3 exons.